GGAUAGCCCUGAUGGGAGUGGAAAUCCUUUUUAUCCUGAACUUGUUUCUGGAUAAAAAGAUUGUAACAUACAGCAGGAGAUGAG
RNAcentral lists this small RNA (84 nucleotides) under Flavobacterium sp. 11. Its description in RNAcentral is "Flavo-1 RNA". It matches the Rfam family "Flavo-1 RNA". RNAcentral also lists the same sequence under 1 other name. The record is from RNAcentral. Lineage: Bacteria; Pseudomonadati; Bacteroidota; Flavobacteriia; Flavobacteriales; Flavobacteriaceae.